AGUAGCCGCGGGAAUACAGAGGGUGCGAGCGUUAAUCGGAUUUACUGGGCGUAAAGCGUGGGUAGGCGGCUAAUUGAGUCGGAUGUGAAAUCCCCGAGCUUAACUUGGGAAUUGCAUUCGAUACUGGUUAGCUAGAGUGUGGGAGAGGAUGGUAGAAUUCCAGGUGUAGCGGUGAAAUGCGUAGAGAUCUGGAGGAAUACCGAUGGCGAAGGCAGCCAUCUGGCAUAACACUGACGCUGAGGUACGAAAGCAUGGGGAGCAAACAGGAUUAGAUACCCCCGUAGUCCCUGUCUCUUAUACA
This 301-nucleotide ribosomal RNA is filed under the name uncultured bacterium. RNAcentral's name for it is "partial 16S ribosomal RNA". It matches the Rfam family "Bacterial small subunit ribosomal RNA", at positions 510 to 808 of the family's 1533-position model. The record is from RNAcentral.